CCGUCGUCUCUCCUUACUCCCCCCCCCCCCGGGGCUCUCUUCCACUUCCGGUCGUUGGCGGUUCUGCUCUCGUUACCUGUUUGUUAGUCACGUCCGACUCUCCCGGUGUCUGAAAUGCCGGGCGGCCCCAGGCCUCGAGGGCAUGUUAGGGAGGAGUCACCUUCAUUUUUCGGGGAAGAUGGAAGCUUCAGGGCUCCUUAGGAGUUGGGCAAUAUUGGGCUCUAAUAAUGAUCAUCACGAAAGAAAGCUACGUGGUUGAUGGUAUCGUCUAUUAUAUGAAUCAAACCCUGUUUCCAGGAAAGUAUUGCAUUGACAGAGGGGACUUCCAACUAGAAACCAAUGAAUAAAAAUCAGGUAUUGCAAGAAUUCAAGCAGUACUUGAAAGGGUAUUGUUUAAUAUCUCAGAAGAUAGAAGAAAUAAUUUGCAAACUUACAUUCGGACUUAGUAGAAUUAAAAAAAGUGGUGAUGGGUCUCUGAAGAAAGCAACCACGUGAGCGACAGUACUGUGUAACAACGGACUUGGCUACAAGCUCAUCACCUAGGAGCCAUGUAAUCUUGCAGCGGUUACUUAAUCUUUCUGAGCUUCCAUUUCUUCGUCUGUAAA
RNAcentral lists this long non-coding RNA (605 nucleotides) under Equus caballus (horse). Its description in RNAcentral is "lncRNA (ENSECAG00000054516.1)". Lineage: Eukaryota; Metazoa; Chordata; Mammalia; Perissodactyla; Equidae. The record is from RNAcentral.